AUUUAUACGAGAAAUUGGUUAUACUAAACAUUACAGAUCAAUUAUAGUUUUCACUUAUGGUUUAAUAACAAGUCAAGGGGAGGGGGGUGGCACUGAAGAGAAAUGUUUUUUGUGGCAAAAAUUUUGCUGACCCAACCAUUAAAAAGUAAAAAAAAAUGAUUACCCAAACUCAAAUAUCAAUUAAAAAAUAAAUACCCACCCCUUGCCAAAAAUGUUACAAAUGGUUACAAUUCAGUUUCACACAUGUCCUUUACCACUUCUGUGACAUGAGUUUGAUAACAGCUUGUGAUAUUUUCUGCAGUCUAAAGUUUCAUGUUGUCUGCACAUGUACUUUCUUUGGAGACACCAUUUGCCUCCCAACAAAUGGGGAAAUUAUCAAGAUAUAGUGACUCUGAUUGAUUCACAUAUUGUAUUGACAUAUGACUGUUGACAUCUUGCCAUAUUUGACAUAUUGCCAUAUUGAUGACUGUUGCUUCUCAGUCUCCAAUAUUUCAGUGAGUCAUGCUUUGGAAAUGACAAUAAAUUUUUAUCACCCAACCCAUGAGUUUUCUUUUUCAUUUACUCAACCUUUUACUCACUCAAAAUUUUGUUCACCCAACCCUUUUCUCUUCGGUGCCACCCCCGCCAGAAAUAAUGACCGCUCCCUUAGACAAGUAAAAAAAUAAAAAGUGCACACUAGGGCACAUUGCAGCUUAAUGGGUUAACUAUUUUUUGGUUAACCCAUUAAGUUGCAGAGCUUCACGUGCUAUCCCCAUUGACGAGUUAAAUCGUCUGGUGUUAGACAAGUAAAAAAAUAAGUAGGGUGCACUCAGGGACGUACACAACCGGGGGCGGGGGUCACUCCCCCCCCAGAGAAAACAAUUUACGAUUUUUAGAAUGUCAUUGUUAAUUAUUCUUUGGAUAUUUGGGACUUUUUCGGCAUAUAGGCCUUACUGCACCUCUGGUGAAAAAAUCCUGUGUACGCCUGGUGUUUCUGUUUUUGACUAUUGUUCUUGUUUGCUUUCUGCACUUUGCAACACUUUACAGUGUUGUUUUUG
Non-coding RNA from Paramuricea clavata, 1037 nucleotides. The record is from the annotation of a GenBank genome assembly. NCBI's taxonomy places the organism in Eukaryota, Metazoa, Cnidaria, Anthozoa, Malacalcyonacea, Plexauridae.